Long non-coding RNA from Passer domesticus (house sparrow), 1230 nucleotides. RefSeq lists it as uncharacterized. The record is from RefSeq and is a predicted model, not a curated record. The transcript has 3 exons. Lineage: Eukaryota; Metazoa; Chordata; Aves; Passeriformes; Passeridae.
CGGGCUGAGGGGCCCGGCCCGGGAGCGGCAGCAGCCGGGGGGGCCCGAGCGGGCCUGGGGGGCCCCGAGCCGGUCUCGGGAGCCCCGAGCCGGCCUGGCAGCGGGCGGGGCGUGCUGGGGUCUCGCCGGUGCCGCCCCUUCCCCGUGCGGGGCGCGCCGCUGGAGCCGCUCCGUGCCGCGGCCUCGGCGCUGGAGCGGGGCCGGGGUCCCCCCGCAGGGAGAAGGGCCGGGGGCAGCCCCCGGUGCCCUCCGGCUCCGUGGGGAGCGCGGGCACACAGACAGGCCGCGGGGACACGCGGCUCGCCGAGGUGGCCGCUCCCGGCCCGGGGAAUUUGGAUGCUUGGGGACAUCGCUCGCUGUCCUGGGAAGGGGACGGACGGAGCGCUCCUCUGCUCCCUGCUGAUGUUCAGCCCUAGGAGCGCCUGAUGUGAAGCCCCAAGUCCUCCAAGACUUCAUCCAAAAGUUCCUCCUAGCUGUCUUUUCAUACAGUUAUUUUAUUGCCACCUGCUCUGUUGAAGCAGUGAGACUUAGGCUUGGAGGUGGUUUUAUGAGCCCGUGUUACUUUUGGUUUUGAUUUAGAAAAGAGGCCUUCCUCUGAUCCUUGAAACUGCACUUCCUAGGGCUUGGGAUGGCCCCAGCUGCACGUCUCACAAAUUACUUAAUCAUUGCAGCACAUUUAGAUCAAUUAGUGCAUGUUAGUUUUUAUGUGGGGUAUUAUAAAGCAGUAUUUUUAAUUUAGGAGCUUCCUGUUAGCUGGGAUUGGAGCACUGAAGUUCAUUUAAAGAAGGAUUUGAUUGCCUUCAAUACCUGAGAGGUGAAACUGGGGAGGGAGUAAGAACUGAAAGAGCCUGUACUCGAGAAAGGGGUUUUGUUUUAGGAAGUGAGUAAGAGGAAAUGAUCUCAGGUUGGCAUCGCAAAGUGUAGCCCACGUGUGUGGUGGAGGGUUUUGUUUUUUUAACGACUUGUUCUUUCUGCAAGCAACAAUAUCUUGUCCUCAGGAGGGAGAGCUGUGCCUGCCCUCAGCAGGUCCUGUAGCAUAUGGGAGUUGUGGAGGUAACUGGAGCCCUUCUCCAGACAGGCAAGGUUCAGGUGUCCUUCACCCGUGAUCCUUGAGGACAGGAGAGCUCUCUAUUCCAAGGAGACUUUAAGGCUAAACACAGACCCAAAAAAGGAAGGACAGAGCGGUCCCGUAGCUCCUACACUCAGGGAGGAUAGCUGAGAGAGACAACC